This is a long non-coding RNA of Callorhinus ursinus (northern fur seal), 1023 nucleotides long. RefSeq lists it as uncharacterized. The record is from RefSeq and is a predicted model, not a curated record. Lineage: Eukaryota; Metazoa; Chordata; Mammalia; Carnivora; Otariidae.
UCAUCCUUUCCCGGGAAAACAUAGACUUUUGUCAAGCCCAGGCACCAGGGCUUUUGGCUGGGAGCACUCUGGUUAAUUAGAGAUAGCAUGAGGCCUGCUGUGAAGACUGCCUCAGAGACGCAGGACAGACUGCUUUCAGCGGCUGCUAAGAGAGGAACGGUGACAAACCUGCUCCUUUCUGAGUGGGUAUGCUCUCCGCAGAUUAUGUAACAAGCAACAAUGAAUGGCUUUCUUGCAGGCCAUGGAAAGCACAGCACGGUUCAAAGCAGCGAAGGACAGUUUUUAAAAGGCUACAAUUUUCCUCGGGAUUUUAGGUCAAUCCUCUAACCUAUCUCAAGAUCUCCAAACAUUUUUCCAGGUCCCGAACCCCAUGGAGGUGACUGUCACAAAUAGCCCUCGUCAAGGUCCUCGACAGAACACUCACUUGUAUUUUCCACGGCUGUGCUGAGCACAUGGGCCCAAGCACAGGGGGGCAAACUCCUCCUCACAUCUCCUAAUAGAGGGAGGAAAGAAGCUGAAGAACACCAAGCAGCGGUCAGAGUACGGUAAAGCCAAGGGAUAAAACACCUCGUAGCCGCUGAAAAUGAUAGUUUUAUUCUGUAGUGAGGAUUAAAAAUCACCAGAAUAUAUUAACAGGAAAAAAACACAAGCAGAAUUUGAUCUCAUUUACGGAAAGAUGUAUAGACUUCAUAAAUGAAGAGGUCUGCAGGGAUGCUCAAGAAUUGACAUCUCUGGGUGAAGAGAUUUCAGACUAGUUUUGAAUAUUUCUCCAGUUGGGUCAUGAGACUGUGGUUUUGAAUCAUCUAGACCCAAACACCACUCAGCUGACUUUGGCUCCUUGGAGUAGAUAAAGAGAUGUUUGACCAAAUGUAUUGGCUCAUCAAACCACAAAAUAUUUAAAGGCAUCAAAAGAACUAUAGUUCUGAACCCUAUAAUCUAACAGAGCUUCCAGAAUUGGAAGGACUCAGGCAGAACCCAAUCACCUAACAUGCCAGGGAGCAUAUGUGUUAUGCUGAACUGACU